GCGUGGGGAGCGAACGGGAUUAGAUACUCCGGUAGUCCCGCGGUAAACGAUGAGCACUAGGUGUAGCGGGUAUCGACUCCGCAUGUGCCGCAGCUAACGCAAAUAAGUGCCCCGCCUGGGGAUUACGCACGCAAGUGUGAAACUCAAAGGAAUUGACGGGGCCCCGCACAAUCGGUGGAGUAUGUGGUUUAAUUCGAUGCAACGCGAAGAACCUCACCAGGGCUUGACAUGUUGGUGGUAGGAAGCCGAAAGGUAACCGACCCUUCGGGGAGCCUUCACAGGUGCUGCAUGGCUGUCGUCAGCUCGUGUCGUGAGAUGUUGGGUUAAGUCCCGCAACGAGCGCAUCCCCUACCCUUAGUUGCCAUCAGUUCGGCUGGGAACUCUAGGGGAACUGCCGGUGACAACCCGGAGGAAGGUGGGGAUGACGUCAAGUCCUCAUGGCCGUUAUGUCAUGGUCUACACACGUAUUACAAUGGUCGGUACAAUGAGUCGCAAUACCGCGAGGUGGAGCCAAUCUCAAAAAUCCGGCCUCAAUUCAGAUUGGAGUUUGCAACUAGACUCCAUGAAGUUGGAAUUGCUAGUAAUCGCGGAUCAGCAUGCCGCGGUGAAUUUGUUCCCGGGGCUUGUACA
This 630-nucleotide ribosomal RNA is filed under the name uncultured organism. RNAcentral's name for it is "bacterial SSU rRNA". It matches the Rfam family "Bacterial small subunit ribosomal RNA", at positions 759 to 1387 of the family's 1533-position model. The record is from RNAcentral.